UGCUGCAGUUAAAAAGCUCAUAGUUGGAUCUUGGGAGCAGGCGGGCGGUCCUACGGGAGGCAAGCCGCCACCGGUUCCCACCCCUUGCCUCUAGGCGCCCCCUCAGUGCUCUUAGCUGAGUGUCCCGCGGGGCCUGAAGCGUUUACUUUGAAAAAAUUAAGAGUGUUCAAAGCAGGCCCGAGCUGCCUGGAUACCGCAGCUAGGAAUAAUGGGAUAGGACCCCGGUUCUAUUUUGUUGGUUUUCGGAACUGAGGCCAUGAUUAAGAGGGACGGCCGGGGGCAUUCGUACUGCGCCGCUAGAGGUGAAAUUCUUGGACCGGCGCAAGACGGACCAGAGCGAAAGCAUUUGCCAAGAAUGUUUUCAUUAAUCAAGAACUAAAGUCGGAGGUUCGAAGACGAUCAGAUACCGUCGUAGUUCCGACCAUUAAAAAAAAAAUAAGUAAGAAAAGAAAGUAAAAGAAAUUUUAAAAAGAACAGAAAACACACAAACAAAAAACCUCCUAACUUUGUAGUGCAUUAAUUUCUU
This 526-nucleotide non-coding RNA is filed under the name Mustela putorius furo (domestic ferret). RNAcentral's name for it is "Eukaryotic small subunit ribosomal RNA". It matches the Rfam family "Eukaryotic small subunit ribosomal RNA", at positions 611 to 1083 of the family's 1831-position model. The record is from Rfam by way of RNAcentral. Lineage: Eukaryota; Metazoa; Chordata; Mammalia; Carnivora; Mustelidae.